CCUACGGGUGGCAGCAGUGGGGAAUAUUGCACAAUGGGCGAAAGCCUGAUCCAGCAACGCCGCGUGAGCGAUGAAGGCCUUCGGGACGUAAAGCUCUGUCCUCAAGGAAGAUAAUGACGGUACUUGAGGAGGAAUCCCUGUCUAACUACGUGCCAGCAGCCGCGGUAAUACGUAGGGGGCUAGCGUUAUCCGGAAUUACUGGGCGUUAAGGGUGCGUAGGUGGUUUCUUAAGUCAGAGGUGAAAUGCUACGGCUCAACCGUAGUAAGCCUUUGAAACUGGGGAACUGGAGUGCGGGAGAGGAGAGUGGAACUCGCAGUGUAGCGGUGAAAUGCGUAGAUAUUAGGAGGAACACCAGUUGCGAAGGCGG
RNAcentral lists this ribosomal RNA (368 nucleotides) under uncultured bacterium. RNAcentral's name for it is "partial 16S ribosomal RNA". It matches the Rfam family "Bacterial small subunit ribosomal RNA", at positions 338 to 724 of the family's 1533-position model. The record is from RNAcentral.